AAGCAAGUUCAAAUAAAGCUUAUUACUACUACAGUGACCAUGAAGAUAGUUGGUUGCAAGUUAGCACUUUCUUUUUAUCAAAUAUGGUUAUGAAGACUGAAAAUGACACUUUAUUAGACUAAGUUGUUUUGGUACAAGAUAUCCCUCAUGAAAUUCAACUCAUUAUAUUUGCAACUUUUGGUCUCUUCUAUUGAUGCAAAAUUGAAAGACCCUAAACAAUUAGUAACCAUGUAUACAGUACUGUAGGUAAGAUAAUGUGAAAAGGUUCAUUAUUUGUUCAUUGUUUUAUAGUUCCUAUUGACUCAACUAAAGGAAUAAAGAUGUUAUACGUAUUUGUGGACAUAAAGCUGGAUGCCACACAUUUUGUCAACACAGUCAGACACAAUUUUGAAGCUGGAAAGUCACUUGCACUUUUGAGCACAAUCCAGUUUGUGACAACACUUCAAGCUGUAUAUCAAGACCUGUGUAAAGAUUAUCAGGUAGAGAUUCCGCAGUGUAAACCAUUGUCACCUGGAGAGAUUCUGGGCUGCACUGCUCCCAGAAUAAAAGACAAGGAUGCAUUCAUGUAAGAAAAUUAUUAAGAAAAACAAGGAAAUAAUCAUGUAAUUUAGUUCAUUGUGAAUUUAAGAAAACUGCACCAACUCUUUCAUAGUGAGUAUUCUUAAACAAAUUGAACAUUCUUUUGAAAAUCUUUCUUAUUAUUUGUAUUGGUAAAUCUAGUUGUAAGUACUGUAGUGGUUUAGUUUAAUUAAAAAUUUGCACCAUUACAUCUGAAGCUAUUUGCUUAUAAAUAAAACAAUGUUCCGAGC
This is a long non-coding RNA of Pocillopora damicornis (cauliflower coral), 809 nucleotides long. Lineage: Eukaryota; Metazoa; Cnidaria; Anthozoa; Scleractinia; Pocilloporidae. The record is from RefSeq and is a predicted model, not a curated record.